RNAcentral lists this ribosomal RNA (465 nucleotides) under Vreelandella stevensii. RNAcentral's name for it is "partial 16S ribosomal RNA". It matches the Rfam family "Bacterial small subunit ribosomal RNA", at positions 338 to 795 of the family's 1533-position model. Lineage: Bacteria; Pseudomonadati; Pseudomonadota; Gammaproteobacteria; Oceanospirillales; Halomonadaceae. The record is from RNAcentral.
CCUACGGGGUGCUGCAGUGGGGAAUAUUGGGCAAUGGGCGAAAGCCUGAUCCAGCCAUGCCGCGUGUGUGAAGAAGGCCUUCGGGUUGUAAAGCACUUUCAGUGGGGAAGAAAGCCUUGGGGCUAAUACCCUCGAGGAAGGACAUCACCCACAGAAGAAGCACCGGCUAACUCCGUGCCAGCAGCCGCGGUAAUACGGAGGGUGCGAGCGUUAAUCGGAAUUACUGGGCGUAAAGCGCGCGUAGGCGGUCUGAUAAGCCGGUUGUGAAAGCCCCGGGCUCAACCUGGGAACGGCAUCCGGAACUGUCAGGCUAGAGUGCAGGAGAGGAAGGUAGAAUUCCCGGUGUAGCGGUGAAAUGCGUAGAGAUCGGGAGGAAUACCAGUGGCGAAGGCGGCCUUCUGGACUGACACUGACGCUGAGGUGCGAAAGCGUGGGUAGCAAACAGGAUUAGAUACCCGUGUAGUC